CUCACCGCGCUCUGCAUCCUCCCUCACCGCCAUCCAACCCCCAACCACUCCCACCGCACCACCAUGUCCCGCACCAAGGAGACCGCCCGCGCGAAGCGCACCAUCACGUCGAAGAAGAGCAAGAAGGCGUCGAGCGGGGCGUCCGGCGUGAAGAAGUCGCAUCGCCGCUGGCGCCCGGGCACCUGCGCGAUCCGCGAGAUCCGCAAGUUCCAGAAGAGUACGAGCCUGCUGAUCCAGUGCGCGCCGUUCCAGCGCCUGGUGCGCGAGGUGUCGAGCGCGCAGAAGGAGGGCCUGCGCUUCCAGAGCAGCGCCAUCAUGGCGCUGCAGGAGGCGACGGAGGCGUACAUUGUGUCGCUGAUGGCGGACACGAACCUCGCCUGCAUCCACGCGAAGCGCGUGACGAUCCAGCCGAAGGACAUCCAGCUGGCGCUGCGCCUGCGCGGUGAGCGCCACUAGAGACGAAGCCAACGCGUGCGCUGCGGCACUUUUCUUGGCUGCGCAGACGAGGUGAGAGGCUGCGGUGGGGAGCGGAGGGAGGACGCUGUGUGUGAGCUGCGUCGACGCUCUGCACUCUCCCCCCUUCCCCCUCGCUCACCUGCUGCCCCUCAGCAAGUCAGCGUUGCGUGCGUGUGUGUGCUUGUGUGAGCGGCGCUCUCACGGACUCGCACGGGCUUACCGACACACACUCCAUAGAUGCUCUUCGUUUUCGACUCUCUUUUUCCGGUGCCUCUGUGUCGUUCUCUGAUGAUGCGUCUCGACGCGUGUAAAGCUGUUGAGGUGCGUGCGCGGUUACAUGGCGAAGGGAUGUUUGCUGCGAUGUAGUUUCACUGCGUUUCCUGUUUCUGUGGCAGACGCGCAUGCAGAGGAGAAAGCGAGGUGAGUGCUCCCGGUGGUGGUGGUGUGUUUGUGUGUGUGUGUGUGUCAGUUGUAUGGGUGGUCAUCAGCAGACAUCGCACCCCUCCUACCCCCC
RNAcentral lists this unclassified non-coding RNA (970 nucleotides) under Leishmania donovani. Its description in RNAcentral is "gene:LdHU3.16.0690(CDS-product:histone_H3)". The record is from RNAcentral. Lineage: Eukaryota; Euglenozoa; Kinetoplastea; Trypanosomatida; Trypanosomatidae.